GUCUCUUUGUCCAUGGACGGACCCAACGUCAAUUGGCGUUUUCUUGAGAUGCUGCGGACGGAGCAUGCUGAGCAUUUUGGGGGUGCCCAGUUGGUUGUAGUGGGAAGUUGUGGGCUACACACUCUACAUAAUGCUGUCAAAUGUGGAUUCACUGAGUGGCAUAUGGAGAAGUUCUUAAGAGCUCUUCAUACUAUUUUUCACAAUGUGCCAGCAAGAAGGGAGGGUUUUUGCAAUCUUACAAAGUCCAAAACCUUUGCUUUGCCUUUCUGUGGUCACCGCUGGAUCGAGAACCUCCCAGUAGUGCAGAGAGCCAUUGAGAUCUGGCCUGACAUGAAGAAAUAUGUUGAUGCUGUUACAACCAAGAAGCUCCCAAACCCUGGAACGUCUUCUUAUGACACCAUCGAGGUGGCAACCAAAGACCCUCUUAUUUUGGCAAAGCUGCAUUUUUUCAUGGCAGUUUCACGAAGUGUGACACCCUUCUUGACAAAGUAUCAAACGGAUGAACCUGUGCUUCCAUUCUUUGCCAAUGACUUGGCUGAAUUACUGAAGAAUUUGCUGAGGCGAUUCAUCAAGCGAGAGCUACUGACUGAUGUCACACCUCAGCACUUGGUACGGCUUGAUGUCACUGACAAGCAGUCGAGGGUGCAUCCAAAGGCAGUGGACAUCGGCAUUGGUGCAGAGACUGCCAUAAAGGUGAUCUGAUCACCCAGAAGUUCUCAGAGAUGCUGUCCCUGGAGGUCCGAACUGAAGAAUUUCAGUCCUUCCAGCCAUUCAAGAAAAGACUGGAUGUCUUUCUAAGCAACAUCAUCAGUGAGACCUACCCACAACUUUGGUCCUUUA
This is a long non-coding RNA of Eleginops maclovinus (Patagonian blennie), 840 nucleotides long. RefSeq lists it as uncharacterized. Lineage: Eukaryota; Metazoa; Chordata; Actinopteri; Perciformes; Eleginopidae. The transcript has 3 exons. The record is from RefSeq and is a predicted model, not a curated record.